GCUCCAGCACAGCAGCCUGAAGAGGUGCAGCAGGUGCAGCCCCCGCAGGAGGAUGCAGGCCAGGAGCGGACAGAAGAGCAGCUCCGUGCCCGUGGCCGCUUCCGCAGGGCAGCACAGCUGGUUUGCAGAUUCAUCAGGUGCAUGAAGAG
Chiroxiphia lanceolata (lance-tailed manakin) is the source of this 149-nucleotide long non-coding RNA. RefSeq lists it as uncharacterized. The record is from RefSeq and is a predicted model, not a curated record. The transcript has 3 exons. NCBI's taxonomy places the organism in Eukaryota, Metazoa, Chordata, Aves, Passeriformes, Pipridae.